Molecule: ribosomal RNA, 274 nt
Filed under: uncultured bacterium
Lineage: Bacteria
Description: partial 16S ribosomal RNA
Rfam family: Bacterial small subunit ribosomal RNA
Source: RNAcentral
AUACGGAGGGUGCAAGCGUUACUCGGAAUCACUGGGCGUAAAGGACGCGUAGGCGGGAUGCCAAGUCUGAUGUGAAAUCCUAUGGCUCAACCAUAGAACUGCAUUGGAAACUGGUAACCUAGAGUAUGGGAGGGGGAGAUGGAAUUAGUGGUGUAGGGGUAAAAUCCGUAGAUAUCACUAGGAAUACCGAAAGCGAAGGCGAUCUCCUGGAACAUUACUGACGCUAAGGCGUGAAAGCGUGGGGAGCAAACAGGAUUAGAUACCCCAGUAGUCC